RNAcentral lists this ribosomal RNA (503 nucleotides) under uncultured bacterium. Its description in RNAcentral is "partial 16S ribosomal RNA". It matches the Rfam family "Bacterial small subunit ribosomal RNA", at positions 28 to 523 of the family's 1533-position model. The record is from RNAcentral.
GACGAACGCUGGCGGCGUGCUUAACACAUGCAAGUGGAGCGACGAACCCUUCGGGGGGCAAAGCCGCGAACGGGUGAGUAACACGUGGGUAACCUGCCCCGAUGACUGGGACAACCCGGGGAAACCCGGGCUAAUACCGGAUGAUGUGCACACACUUCAGUGUGUUCACUAAAGGUAGCUUCGGCUUCCGCAUGAGGAGGUGCCCGCGGCCCAUUAGCUUGUUGGUGAGGUAACGGCUCACCAAGGUAACGAGGGGUAGCUGGUGUGAGAGGACGAUCAGCCACACUGGGACUGAGACACGGCCCAGACUCCUACGGGAGGCAGCAGUGGGGAAUCUUGCGCAAUGCGCGAAAGCGUGACGCAGCAACGCCGCGUGAGGGAAGACGGCCUUCGGGUUGUAAACCUCUUUCAGUAGGGACGAAGGCCGGCCGGUGAAUAGCCGUGUCGGUUGACGGUACCUUCAGAAGAAGCUCCGGCUAACUACGUGCCAGCCGCCGCCGUAA